AAACACUAGCAUUAAAACAUGUUUUCAAAAUGAAGUUAAGUGGUGUUAUCUUCUUAGUUGUGCUUUUAACUCUUGUCCUGAUUUCUUCACAAGCAAGAAAUCUUCAAGCCUCUCUUCAACCCCAAAUUAAUAGCCGAACUGGACUGAUAUUUGAAACAAAAGCAACAGGAGAGGGGCCGAGGAGGGGCGGUUGUUGGAAGUGCUGGCAAGAAUAUGUUCAUCGUCGCCUAUAGACUUGGUAGUUUAAUCAUGUAUAGGACAUGGUUGAAUUGAUUCAUCUACGCAACUUUAAUACUAACUUAACAUAUUAACAUGAA
Long non-coding RNA from Helianthus annuus (common sunflower), 317 nucleotides. RefSeq lists it as uncharacterized. Lineage: Eukaryota; Viridiplantae; Streptophyta; Magnoliopsida; Asterales; Asteraceae. The transcript has 2 exons. The record is from RefSeq and is a predicted model, not a curated record.